UCGGGUUGUAAAGCACUUUUGUUCGGGAAGAAAACUUCGAUCCUAAUAUGGUUGGAGGAUGACGGUACCGGAAGAAUAAGCACCGGCUAACUACGUGCCAGCAGCCGCGGUAAUACGUAGGGUGCGAGCGUUAAUCGGAAUUACUGGGCGUAAAGCGUGCGCAGGCGGUCUGUUAAGACCGAUGUGAAAUCCCCGGGCUUAACCUGGGAACUGCAUUGGUGACUGGCAGGCUGGAGUGCGGCAGAGGGGGGAUGGAAUUCCGCGUGUAGCAGUGAAAUGCGUAGAUAUGCGGAGGAACACCGAUGGCGAAGGCAAUCCCCUGGGCCUGCACUGACGCUCAUGCACGAAAGCGUGGGGAGCAAACAGGAUUAGAUACCCUGGUAGUCCACGCCCUAAACGAUGUCAACUAGUUGUUGGGUCUUCAUUGACUUAGUAACGUAGCUAACGCGUGAAGUUGACCGCCUGGGGAGUACGGUCGCAAGAUUAAAACUCAAAGGAAUUGACGGGGACCCGCACAAGCGGUGGAUGAUGUGGAUUAAUUCGAUGCAACGCGAAAAACCUUACCUACCCUUGACAUGGUCGGAACCUGGCUG
RNAcentral lists this ribosomal RNA (593 nucleotides) under uncultured Burkholderia sp. Its description in RNAcentral is "bacterial SSU rRNA". It matches the Rfam family "Bacterial small subunit ribosomal RNA", at positions 418 to 1003 of the family's 1533-position model. The record is from RNAcentral. Lineage: Bacteria; Pseudomonadati; Pseudomonadota; Betaproteobacteria; Burkholderiales; Burkholderiaceae.